This 2312-nucleotide long non-coding RNA is filed under the name Gallus gallus (chicken). RNAcentral's name for it is "lncRNA (ENSGALG00010017360.1)". The record is from RNAcentral. Lineage: Eukaryota; Metazoa; Chordata; Aves; Galliformes; Phasianidae.
GAAGGUUUUUUAUUCACUAGAUAAACAAUAUUCCCUUUUUGUUUCUAUCCUAUUAACACCAAUGAAAAAUCUCAAAAUUCAGCAUUACUGUAGAUGUACAUGCAGCAAGAAAAUUAUUCCAUGCCUUGCACAGGACCUUAUAAAGGGAAAUACUGUGUCUAUCAAGCUUAUCUGUUCAUCUGGAUUCCCAGGACCAAAAGACCAACAGCCUGCACAGAGACAUCCUGCUACAGAUCAGUGACUGUACUCUGCAGUCAGGUUAAUGAAGAAUGAGCUGGCUGAAAGAUGAACAUGAUUAUGUGUAAGACAACAGAUCUUAUGGAAGCAGAAGACUGUAUGGGGGACCUACACAGUGACCAACAGCAGACUAGCAGCAGAACACUGAACAAAAGGAAAACCAGACUUGUCUGUUACAUAUGUUUUCUCACAAGAAAGAGCACACGCGGGGAUUCAGUCCCCAUGUGACUUCAGGAGAAGGCAGAGGAGUUACAAAGAAGGGAUUAACUGGCAAUACAUUUGCAAUUAAGUGCUCUGCCAUCCUUGCUCUCUUUUCAGCAGCUUUACAUUUCCUUCUGUUGACGUUAUACCCCCAAGAUACCCAAAGCAGGUGGGGUGGUCGGGAACGAAGAGUCUCAUAAGCAAACGCUAAAGAGCUCCUAAUUCAAGAUGGACACUAAAACUGCUGAAAAUUUUGUAACAAAUUGUCAACUUUUUGUCCCCCUUCCAAAAGCUCCCAGAGACUCUUGCUCUUGGUGUUGGGAUCUCCUUUCUAACACAGAUAUUGUUUAAAUAUGCAAUGUUAUUUUACUUUAGUUCUCAAAUGAGUCUUUAUUUCAUCCAGAUGUUACUGCUCAUAUCCCUGUCUUCGUUUAGAGCAACACUUUGUAGAAUACCUAAUCUUUAAGUCACUUUUACUUUAAUUCACCACUAUAUUUUUAAACGACUGUGUUUGACAUAAACCACUAGCUGGUUUCACAACUGCAGCGUCUCCACCUUUGGCAAACUCUUCACUUAUUUAUUCCCUCCUCUUUUAAUGGAGUUGCUGGAACCACUUAAAAUCCAUUAAUACACUACAAAUUUCAAGCACAAAUCAUAUUUGUGUGAACUAGUGCAGUUGGAAAUGCUGAAUAACUUCUACUUCAUAUGAAAUCAAGUCCAUUGUAAAUGUGUAAUUGCGAUCCUCAAACAGCUUAAAGAUUUUCUGCAAAUACUCCUUAAACACCAUGAAACCAUUAGAAAUGGACAGGACUUCAUAGCUCCUGCAAACACAUCUUUUCCUUGGUCUUACGUCCCAGCAAUAUUCAGCUCAAUCUGAGUCUGAAAGUGAGGAAUGUGAAGAGUCUCUUCCUGUGAAAGAAGUGGCACUUAGCACCAAGGUAUUUUCAUCCUGUCAACACUGGCCCUGUGGUUAGCUGCUGAAGGGUUGGAGGAGAGUCUCCUCUAAAGAAAAAAAUAAACAAAGAAAAACCAUGUAUGUCACCACAGCAGAAGAUACUGCAUUUGGAUGUGUGAGCGAGCAGUGGAUCCUUUGGGAAGUGCCAACAGGGCCUCGUAAUGGCCAUGCCUCCAGAAAGCUGCUGUGGAGAGUCAAAACAAUUAAAAAGUACUUCACCCCCAUGCUCCCUGCAGGAAUUCAGAUGCUCAAGUCACUCUGUCCUUUCUGGAACACAUUAGUUUCACAACAGGUGAUGACAGCAGCCUGAGAGACAGCAAUAGGUGCCAGUGUGAGCCUGCAGAGAAAUCAGAGCAUCCCUGUAAACCAGGAAUUCCCCUACCCACCCUCCAUUUUGUUCAGUGUUUCCUGAUGACCACAGAGGCCAGAAGCUCUGCUCAUGCAGGCAGCAACGUCACCUAUACGUGUUCAGAAGAUGUAGAUCCCACAGUCAGAAAAGCAGCUCAGCCUGAAGAUCUGAGAUACAUCUCUAGGACUGUACAUUUCUUCUUAUAAUUUCUGGUGAUGUUCCCAGUUUUUCUGAUGGAAACUUCAUCAAAUCCACCCUUGUGGGAUCAUCUUGAUGUCAAAGGUGUUAAAGCAAUGCAGCGUUGGACCUGAGUUAUUCUGCAUACUCAUGGAAUGUAUUAGUUCCCAGGCAUGCAGCUAGGUUAGAAUCUUAAUCAUAAAAUAUCUAAAACCAAUCAAUUGGCUUAUCUUUAGUCCAUUAAAACAAGCAAAACUGGACAUCUACAAAAACACACAGCCUUUCUACAGUGUUUCCAAGUCACGCUAUGGUAAUCAGUAGCUGUGAAAGUGAAGUCCCUACACACACAUACGGGAACAUAUCAUAGAACCAUAAUAUGGCUUGGAUUGGAAC